UGCAGGACAGCUCAGUCAGUAGAGCAUGAGACACUUAAUCUCAGGUUUGUGGGUUCGAGCCCCACAUUGGGCAA
Non-coding RNA from Podarcis lilfordi (Lilford's wall lizard), 74 nucleotides. NCBI's taxonomy places the organism in Eukaryota, Metazoa, Chordata, Lepidosauria, Squamata, Lacertidae. The record is from the annotation of a GenBank genome assembly.